RNAcentral lists this ribosomal RNA (496 nucleotides) under uncultured bacterium. Its description in RNAcentral is "partial 16S ribosomal RNA". It matches the Rfam family "Bacterial small subunit ribosomal RNA", at positions 29 to 507 of the family's 1533-position model. The record is from RNAcentral.
AUGAACGCUGGCGGCGUGCCUAAUACAUGCAAGUCGAGCGAACAGACGAGGAGCUUGCUCCUCUGACGUUAGCGGCGGACGGGUGAGUAACACGUGGAUAACCUACCUAUAAGACUGGGAUAACUUCGGGAAACCGGAGCUAAUACCGGAUAAUAUAUUGAACCGCAUGGUUCAAUAGUGAAAGACGGUUUUGCUGUCACUUAUAGAUGGAUCCGCACCGCAUUAGCUAGUUGGUAAGGUAACGGCUUACCAAGGCAACGAUGCGUAGCCGACCUGAGAGGGUGAUCGGCCACACUGGAACUGAGACACGGUCCAGACUCCUACGGGAGGCAGCAGUAGGGAAUCUUCCGCAAUGGGCGAAAGCCUGACGGAGCAACGCCGCGUGAGUGAUGAAGGUCUUCGGAUCGUAAAACUCUGUUAUUAGGGAAGAACAAAUGUGUAAGUAACUAUGCACGUCUUGACGGUACCUAAUCAGAAAGCCACGGCUAACUACGUG